RNAcentral lists this ribosomal RNA (254 nucleotides) under uncultured bacterium. RNAcentral describes it as "partial 16S ribosomal RNA". It matches the Rfam family "Bacterial small subunit ribosomal RNA", at positions 524 to 776 of the family's 1533-position model. The record is from RNAcentral.
UACGGGGGGAGCAAGCGUUGUUCGGAUUUACUGGGCGUAAAGGGCGCGUAGGCGGUCAGCACAAGUCAGUUGUGAAAUCUCCGAGCUUAACUCGGAAAGGUCAACUGAUACUGUGCGGCUAGAGUGCGGAAGGGGCAACUGGAAUUCUUGGUGUAGCGGUGAAAUGCGUAGAUAUCAAGAGGAACACCUGCGGCGAAGGCGGGUUGCUGGGCCGACACUGACGCUGAGACGCGAAAGCCAGGGGAGCGAACGGG